Molecule: ribosomal RNA, 327 nt
Filed under: uncultured eukaryote
Lineage: Eukaryota
Description: partial 18S ribosomal RNA
Rfam family: Eukaryotic small subunit ribosomal RNA
Source: RNAcentral
CCCUUAGAUGUUCUGGGCCACACGCGCGUUACACUGAUGAAGCCAGCGAGUAUAUCGCCUUCACCGGAAGGUGCGGGUAAUCUUGUGAAACUUCAUCGUGCUGGGGAUAGACCAUUGCAAUUAUUGGUCUUGAACGAGGAAUUCCUAGUAAGCAUGAGUCAUCAACUCGUGCUGUUUACGUCCCUGCCCUUUGUACACACCGCCCGUCGCUACUACCGAUUGAAUGGUUUAGUGAGAUCUCGGGAUUGGAGACGUUGCGCCGCAAGGCACAUCGUCCUCGAGAACUUGAUCAAACUUGAUCAUUUAGAGGAAGUAAAAGUCGUAACA